GAUGAAGAACGUAGCAAAAUGCGAUAAGUAAUGUGAAUUGCAGAAUUCAGUGAAUCAUCGAAUCUUUGAACGCACAUUGCGCCCGCCAGUAUUCUGGCGGGCAUGCCUGUUCGAGCGUCAUUUCAACCCUCAAGCACAGCUUGGUGUUGGGACUCGCGUUAAUUCGCGUUCCUCAAAUUGAUUGGCGGUCACGUCGAGCUUCCAUAGCGUAGUAGUAAAACCCUCGUUACUGGUAAUCGUCGCGGCCACGCCGUUAAACCCCAACUUCUGAAUGUUGACCUCGGAUCAGGUAGGAAUACCCGCUGAACUUAAGCAUAUCAAGCGGAGGA
Molecule: unclassified non-coding RNA, 329 nt
Filed under: soil metagenome
Description: partial contains 5.8S ribosomal RNA, internal transcribed spacer 2, and large subunit ribosomal RNA
Rfam family: 5.8S ribosomal RNA (bases 1-120)
Source: RNAcentral